Anthonomus grandis grandis is the source of this 2012-nucleotide long non-coding RNA. RefSeq lists it as uncharacterized. Lineage: Eukaryota; Metazoa; Arthropoda; Insecta; Coleoptera; Curculionidae. The transcript has 2 exons. The record is from RefSeq and is a predicted model, not a curated record.
CCAAAUAAAAUUGUGCCGGCACUGUGUUUUAGACAAAGAAAUCUUUUACGUAUGUUCGUCCCUCUUUAACACAAUCAGACCGCCAAAUUCCCGAAAUCGGGGCGAAUUAGAUGCGGCGCGGACAAGUACGUAACGAUUUACUACAGCCCCCGUCCCCCGUCGCGACAGUCACAUUUCACACUCGCUCGAAGACACAUUGCUCUUGUUUCUAGCUCAAAGUUUCCUCUCGCCACAAAUUGUCGAGUGACAAUUAUUUGCUCUAAUUGCAGAAAAAUUGAAAUUUGUAUAUCGUCAGCACCGGAAAAACCGGCAGCACUAUAUAUUCUACGUUGAUAACCUGCCAACUACAAAUGUGUAAUAAUAAUCCUUAUUUUAUACGAUGAGAAUAACAGCUAACUCCCGCCGAUUCAAAUCCACUUUGUAACCACAGCCAAGUCCACACAGCCAGGUGCAUUUUCAAUGGUGAUCUUGUGAGAACGUGUAGGAAUUGAGUUUAAUGUGCAUUAUUUUAAGUUACUUCUAGUAUUUUGGGCGUUUAAAAUAUUUUUUUAAUUUAAUAACACAAGAGAUGUCACGUGCCAAACGAAUCCUUGAUAUGGCCAUCGGUCAAACAGCAAAUGAAACCGAAGACUCAGAGCUGGGAGAAGACCCUGAGCAUAAUACUUGGAAGUAUUCUUUCGGGGAAAGCAGUGGUGUAGACUCAAUUCCCGUGUCGUUGGAGUUACCAAUGGAUAUAUUAGACUCUCCCAUAAAAGAAAAUCAACCCUUUGAAAACUUCCAAAUAGCCGAAAAUGUGCAAAUUGAUUUUAUUGACGAAAAUGGGCAAAAAUUAGAUAAUUGUGAAGAAGUUAUUGUACUGAAUGAAAUUCCUUUACUGGACAACUUAAAUGAAGCUCCUCGUGCUUCUACAGGAAUCAAUCAUAUUAAAAAACAAUCCAAUAUAGAAUCUACAAUUUCUGAUAUUUCCGAUGACGAAGCUAGCAGGUUGGUACCAUAUUCGGAUUCCGACUCAGGCUCAUCUUAUAGUUAUCCGACAAAAAGUAAAAAACGUAAAAAGCGCUUUCAAGUACAAGAAUCAACGUGGUUUGCUGAAAAAAAUUGAAAGUUAAGAGAAAGGGGUCAAAGUUACUUGGGACGAAUAAAAAAAAAUGGAAAAGGGACCUAUAACAAUCCAAAAAAACCUCGUACAAUGAAGGAAAGGUGCAAAUGUAAACUAAACCCUAAAGGAAUGUUAAAAUGCUCUGCAGUAAAUGAAAGUCAAAGGCAACUUAUUUUUAACAACUUUUGGAAAAUGACUUCGGCGGAAAAAGAGUUUAUGUAAACACUCUUGUCUUCUCUAUGCCACCUAAAAGACACAGAAACCGACAAAAAGAAAAUGAAAGUAAAAGGGGACAAACCCUUCAAUAUUUUUUAAGAGUAGGAGAAGUAAACUUUAGAGUUUGUAGGACAAUUUUCAUUACCACUUUAGGAAUAGGUCGCUGGACGAUACUCCAUUGGAAACGGUCUUUUCAUUCCCGUUCGCCUAAUGUUCAAAGAGAAACGUCAAUGGAAGGUCAAUUUUUAAAAUCAUUGCCAGUCAUGGAGUCUCAUUACUGCAGAUCAACAUCAGAAAAAAAAACCUUUUAGCUGAGUGGCAAUCUAAACAAAGUCUUUAUGAUUUUUACAUCAAUAAUUGGUGUGAAUCAAAAAAUGUGGAGUCGCUUUCUAUAGCAACAUUUUCCAAGGCUUUUGAAGAAAAAAAUUAUGCCAUUUUUCACCCGAAAAAAGAUUAACCAAUGCGAAAGAUGCGUUAGUUACAAGGUUGGCGACACCUCGGAAGAUAAAUACAAGAGUCACAUACAAAAGAAAAAUGCGGCAAGGGAGGAAAAGGAUAAAAAUACACAAAAAUAUUAUGUAUUUACGGUGGAUUUUCAAGCUGUGUUAAUGUGUCCCGUAUCUAAAGUGUCUACUUUACAUUAUAAAACAAAACUUCAAGUGCACAAUCUUUGUUUUUAUAAUUUAAUGAAUUCAGA